RNAcentral lists this non-coding RNA (158 nucleotides) under Climacostomum virens. The record is from RNAcentral. Lineage: Eukaryota; Ciliophora; Heterotrichea; Heterotrichida; Climacostomidae.
CUUAAACGAACGAUCUUCAUGCAAAAAAAAAAAAAAACUUUUUGUGGUGUGACGUUCGCGCGCUCGAGGUAGAAUAGGCGUAGAUGUUUCUUUCUUUUACAAAACGUAUUUCCUUCUUUCUCGCUUUUCUUAUUUUACCUUUCUCUUUCUCUUUUUUU